CGCUGGCGGCAUGCCUAAUACAUGCAAGUUGUACGGGGUUUACUUCGGUAAACCUAGUAGCGAACGGGUGAGUAAUGCAUGGGAAACCUACCUCUAUGUUUGGAAUAACCAAUUGAAAGAUUGGCUAAUACCGGAUAAUGAAUAAUUGCUAAAGCAGUUAUAAUAAAAGGACGCAAGUCCGCACAGAGAUGGGCUCAUGUUGCAUUAGCUAGUUGGUGAGAUAAAAGCUCACCAAGGCGACGAUGCAUAGCCGGCCUGAGAGGGUGAACGGCCACACUGGGACUGAGACACGGCCCAGACUCCUACGGGAGGCAGCAGUAGGGAAUUUUCGACAAUGGGCGCAAGCCUGAUCGAGCAAUGCCGCGUGAGUGAUGACGGUCUUCGGAUUGUAAAGCUCUUUUAUAGGGGAAUAAAAAGUAAGAUAGACUCUUACAUAUUGACGGUACCCUAAGAAUAAGCCACGGCUAACUACGUGCCAGCAGCCGCGGUAAUACGGAGGAUCCGAGCGUUAUCCGGAUUUAUUGGGUUUAAAGGGUACGUAGGCGGAAUAGUAAGUCAGCGGUGAAAUCCUGCAGCUCAACUGUAGAGUUGCCGUUGAUACUGUUAUUCUUGAGAGUAGAUGAGGUAGGCGGAAUGUGGUGUGUAGCGGUGAAAUGCAUAGAUAUACCACAGAAACACCGAUUGCGAAGGCAGCUUACUAAACUACAACUGGACGCUGAGGUACGAAAGCGUGGGUAUCAAACAGGAUUAGAUACCCUGGUAGUCCACGCCGUAA
Molecule: ribosomal RNA, 775 nt
Filed under: uncultured bacterium
Lineage: Bacteria
Description: bacterial SSU rRNA
Rfam family: Bacterial small subunit ribosomal RNA
Source: RNAcentral